AUACAUAAUAUAUAAUUUGAAGGUUUUUGUGUGCAUUAUAUUUAAUGAUAAUCGCGCAGAGAAUAUGACAUUCUGUGGAUAUCAUAUUUUUUCGGUUUAUCCUCCAUCACUCCAUCAUAUUUCAACAAAACCUAUGGUGGAACUUGAGCUAACGUUUCUUUAAAUGCUUUUUCGAUAUAAUCCGAGAAUGAAGAUAAUUUAACGAUGAAACCAAUGGUUUAUCAUUGCAUACAGAUAUAAAUUAAAUUACUCUAUAUAUUAUCGUGUUUUCCAAUAUCCCUUCUAAAAGAGUGACACACCCCUAUCGAGCAGAAUCGUCCCUUUUUUUUUUCAAAUGACACAAUUAUUAUACAUCAGUACGAAGCUUUCUUAAUACGGAAUAGCCAUGUGGCCAUAACAAUAGAGGCACAUGCCAUACAGUUUCUUUAUGUCGACGGAUACACUUAUAUCGCAAAAUACCAAUAAUGCAUUAUCAAUAGUUAAAUACCAUAAAUACCAGUUACUCAAUUUUUCAAUAGUCACACGACUUAUACUUUCGUCGAUGUCCUUGUACAAGUAAAGGGUUUCAAGAAAUUGAAAGUCUGAAAAUGAAUAUUCAACUGCAUUUGGGGAAUUUAUCCAAGCUUUUAGAUAUAUCUUUCAAAGAAAGAUGCAAAUAUCACGAAACCUAUCUAAAUCUUUAUUUUUAAUUUUAAAUUGGUUUUGAAAAAUAAAAAUUAUGCAACUAUAAAUGGCCACUUUAGCCAUCCAUCUAACAUAGUGAAAAGCUCCUGGAACUCAGAACAAUAGUCCACGAGGAGAAACACCACAUAAGAAUAUUACCAUAAGCUCCAAAAUUUCCCGUAGUCUUCUUUUAUUUGAGGUUUUUUUUAAAUAAUUUUUGAUAAAUUCUUAAGAUGCAUUUAUUAUAUCGUUUAGCUUUUCACGUAGUUUGCGUAACUUAUAAAAAAAAAC
Molecule: non-coding RNA, 954 nt
Organism: Cinara cedri
Lineage: Eukaryota; Metazoa; Arthropoda; Insecta; Hemiptera; Aphididae
Source: the annotation of a GenBank genome assembly